AGUUCAGUGGUAGAAUUCUUGCCUUCCAUGCAGGAGACCUGUGUUCAAUUCUCGG
This 55-nucleotide transfer RNA is filed under the name Loxodonta africana (African savanna elephant). It matches the Rfam family "tRNA", at positions 9 to 63 of the family's 71-position model. From Rfam's summary of the family: Transfer RNA (tRNA) molecules are approximately 80 nucleotides in length. Lineage: Eukaryota; Metazoa; Chordata; Mammalia; Proboscidea; Elephantidae. The record is from Rfam by way of RNAcentral.